Long non-coding RNA from Brassica oleracea var. oleracea, 424 nucleotides. RefSeq lists it as uncharacterized. Lineage: Eukaryota; Viridiplantae; Streptophyta; Magnoliopsida; Brassicales; Brassicaceae. The transcript is spliced from 3 exons. The record is from RefSeq and is a predicted model, not a curated record.
GAUCUCACUUUUAGCGUUGAUGCUGAUGAGGAAAAGCUAAUACUGUAUGAAAAAACGGAGGUGACCGACCAUGAACUGAUCCCUGGAGGGCGGAACAUUAAAGUUACUGAGGAGAAUAAGCAUGAAUAUGUAGACCUAAUCGCCGAGCAUCGAUUAACCACAGCCAUUCGUCCUCAGAUAAAUGCAUUCCUGGAAGGGUUUAGUGAACUUAUCCUUAAAGAUCUAAUAUCGAUUUUUAACGACAAGGAACUGGAGUUAUUAAUAAGUGGUCUUCCUGAUAUCGACUUGGAUAACCUGAGGGCGAAUACUGAAUAUUCUGGGUAUAGUCCUGGAUCCCCUGUUAUCCAGUGGUUCUGGGAGGUUGUUCAGGGAUUAAGCAAAGAAGACAAAGCCCGUCUAUUGCAGUUUGUGACUGGAACCUCUA